Eupeodes corollae is the source of this 1209-nucleotide long non-coding RNA. RefSeq lists it as uncharacterized. Lineage: Eukaryota; Metazoa; Arthropoda; Insecta; Diptera; Syrphidae. The transcript is spliced from 3 exons. The record is from RefSeq and is a predicted model, not a curated record.
GAAUAAUAUAACCUUCUCGUAUGUUUGUUUUCAUAAUUCAAUUUGCUACUUUUUAAACGUCAAAUGUAUUUAUGUACUGAAAGGAGAUUAUUAUGACUUCAAUCGUAUCAAAGUGCGUCAUCGUUUAAAAAAUGGAAUAAAGCACAAUUAUUUCAAAUGAUGUUUCGCCUCUCACAAAUGGGAAUGGCAAGAGUAAAACAACGCUGUCGCCAUCGAAUGCUAUCAACCAGACUGCAAAUGGAAUUGUAUACAAUAAAGAAUAACAUAAACAACACUGAAAUGGAAAAGCACCCACGGGAGCAGCAGUAUCAGGAAGAGGAGAAUUCUAUGAUGAUACUAAUCGGAGCAAAUCUUCAUUCGAAAAGGUUCCUCUACACACAGCCUUCCUAGUAUAUCUUGGCUUUUACCUGCUCAUAAUAUUGGGCUACAUCAAUCAAUUGAUGUGUGCCCCAAAAGUAGCUAAAGAAAUUAAUCGAGAGAUUUUUUUUCAGGGUUAUGUUACGCUUUACGAUGCCUUCGAGAGCUUCUAAUCACGCUAUAUCUAUCGGAAAGCUCGAGAUUGCUGGAAUCCACCGAUUUGCAUUGUCCUGGCGGAGGUAACCCUCAACGAUCUCAUAAUCAAGGACUACGGUUGGACAUUCGAGUUCAAUAGAACAGAAACACGAUGUCUGAACCUGAAUUACAACUACUUGGGAAAAGAAUCAUGCAUCGAUUAUACUUGGCAUUCGAUUGUCAGGAGUUACAACAAAAGACACAAUAACAUGAAAGAUGUGGACAGUGUUCUGCGACAAUGUACAAUUAAUGGUGAGCCAAAAAUAGGCAAACCAUGGAAAAAAAUGUUGAUAAUUGUCGAAGGUGUUUUCAGUAUGGAGGGUUCAAUUGUCCGAUUGCCUGAGGUUAUUGCAUUAAAGAAGAAAUACAAAGCUUAUUUGUAUUUGGAUGCGGCGCAUAGUGUGGCAGCGAUGGGACCAAAUGGUCGCGGUAUUAUCGACCAUUCUAAUGGGCUUUGGCAGUGCUGGCGGUUAAAUUGAUGAAGUGAUUCAAUAGUCCUAAAUUAUUUAAGUUAACCACGAGAUCUUAAUCUGAUUACUUAUUAAGUUAAAAGGAAUAAAUAAAUAAAGGAAUAAGUUCAUUUAAUAAUUCAUUAAAUAAGAAUGUCAUUUAUUUGAGGUAUGAGAAGGUAUAAGCAUAAAGUUAGUUACUGAAGAU